Molecule: ribosomal RNA, 409 nt
Filed under: uncultured bacterium
Lineage: Bacteria
Description: bacterial SSU rRNA
Rfam family: Bacterial small subunit ribosomal RNA
Source: RNAcentral
CGGCACGCCUAACCAUGCAAGUCGAACGAAGUAGCAAUACUUAGUGGCAGACGGGUGAGUAACAUGUAGGUAUCUGCCCUUUGGCCUGGAAUAACACGAGGAAACUUGUGCUAAUACCGGAUAAGUCUUUACGGAGAAAGCUUUAUGCACCAUUGGAUGAGCCUGCACUUGAUUAGUUUGUUGGUGGGGUAAUGGCCUACCAAGACUGUGAUCAAUAGCUGAUUUGAGAGGAUGAUCAGCCACAUUGGGACUGAGACACGGCCCAAACUCCUACGGGAGGCAGCAGUGGGGAAUCUUGCACAAUGGAGGAAACUCUGAUGCAGCGAUGCCGCGUGAGUGAAGAAGGCCCUUGGGUUGUAAAGCUCUUUCGUCGGGGAAGAAAAUGACUGUACCCGAAUAAGAAGGUCCG